This 491-nucleotide ribosomal RNA is filed under the name uncultured bacterium. Its description in RNAcentral is "bacterial SSU rRNA". It matches the Rfam family "Bacterial small subunit ribosomal RNA", at positions 1 to 507 of the family's 1533-position model. The record is from RNAcentral.
AGAAGUUUCGAUCCUGGCUCAGGAUAAACGCUGGCGGCGCACAUAAGACAUGCAAGUCGAACGGACUUAACCAUUAGUUUACUAUUGGAGCGGUUAGUGGCGGACUGGUGAGUAACACGUAAGCAACCUGCCUAUCAGAGGGGAACAACAGUUAGAAAUGACUGCUAAUACCGCAUAUGCCUUAGUAACACAUGUUACAAAGGGAAAGAAGCAAUUCGCUGAUAGAUGGGCUUGCGUCUGAUUAGAUAGUUGGUGGGGUAACGGCCUACCAAGUCGACGAUCAGUAGCCGGACUGAGAGGUUGAACGGCCACAUUGGGACUGAGAUACGGCCCAGACUCCUACGGGAGGCAGCAGUCGGGAAUAUUGCGCAAUGGAGGAAACUCUGACGCGGUGACGCCGCGUGCAGGAAGAAGGUUUUCGGAUUGUAAACUGCUUUAGACAGGGAAGAAACAAGACAGUACCUGUAGAAUAAGCUCCGGCUAACUACGUG